RNAcentral lists this ribosomal RNA (671 nucleotides) under uncultured bacterium. Its description in RNAcentral is "bacterial SSU rRNA". It matches the Rfam family "Bacterial small subunit ribosomal RNA", at positions 115 to 807 of the family's 1533-position model. The record is from RNAcentral.
GCGUGGGUAACCUGGCCCAUACAGGGGGAUAACACUUAGAAAUAGGUGCUAAUACCGCAUAACAACAGAAAGCGCAUGCUUUUUGUUUGAAAACCAAGGUGGUAUGGGAUGGACCCGCGUCUGAUUAGCUGGUUGGCGGGGUAAAGGCCCACCAAGGCGACGAUCAGUAGCCGGCCUGAGAGGGUGGACGGCCACAUUGGGACUGAGACACGGCCCAAACUCCUACGGGAGGCAGCAGUGGGGAAUAUUGCACAAUGGGGGAAACCCUGAUGCAGCGACGCCGCGUGAGUGAAGAAGUAAUUCGUUAUGUAAAGCUCUAUCANNAGGGAAGAAAAUGACGGUACCUGACUAAGAAGCCCCGGCUAACUACGUGCCAGCAGCCGCGGUAAUACGUAGGGGGCAAGCGUUAUCCGGAUUCACUGGGUGUAAAGGGAGCGUAGACGGCGACGCAAGUCUGAAGUGAAAGCCCAGGGCUCAACCCUGGGACUGCUUUGGAAACUGUGGAGCUAGAGUGCUGGAGAGGUAAGUGGAAUUCCUAGUGUAGCGGUGAAAUGCGUAGAUAUUAGGAGGAACACCAGUGGCGANGGCGGCUUACUGGACAGUAACUGACNUUGAGGNUCGNAAGCGUGNGGAGNANCAGGNUUAGAUCCCUGGUAGUCCACGCGNUAAGC